GGUGAUAGGGUUUCAGUGUUUAAGCACUCACUCACUGGUCCUGUCUAAUCUCAGAAGCUAGGCAGAGGUGGCCUAGUUAGUACUUGGAGGGGAGAUCACUUGAGAAUACAAGCUCCAAUAGCUA
RNAcentral lists this ribosomal RNA (124 nucleotides) under Salvator merianae (Argentine black and white tegu). Lineage: Eukaryota; Metazoa; Chordata; Lepidosauria; Squamata; Teiidae. The record is from RNAcentral.